GCGGGUGUGGCGGAAUUGGCAGACGCACUAGACUUAGGAUCUAGCGCCUUCGGCGUGGGGGUUCAAGUCCCUCCACCCGCA
This 81-nucleotide transfer RNA is filed under the name Calidifontibacillus erzurumensis. It matches the Rfam family "tRNA". Rfam says of the family: Transfer RNA (tRNA) molecules are approximately 80 nucleotides in length. Their secondary structure includes four short double-helical elements and three loops (D, anti-codon, and T loops). Further hydrogen bonds mediate the characteristic L-shaped molecular structure. tRNAs have two regions of fundamental functional importance: the anti-codon, which is responsible for specific mRNA codon recognition, and the 3' end, to which the tRNAs corresponding amino acid is attached (by aminoacyl-tRNA synthetases). tRNAs cope with the degeneracy of the genetic code in two manners: having more than one tRNA (with a specific anti-codon) for a particular amino acid; and 'wobble' base-pairing, i.e. permitting non-standard base-pairing at the 3rd anti-codon position. The record is from Rfam by way of RNAcentral. Lineage: Bacteria; Bacillati; Bacillota; Bacilli; Caryophanales; Bacillaceae.